GCCUCGUGAACGAAGAACGCUUGCGGAUUUCACUGACGGUUGCUAGAGAGGAAUGACGAUGAGAGUAACUGUUCAUCCCUUGACGGUAUCUAACCAGAAAGCCACGGCUAACUACGUGCCAGCAGCCGCGGUAAUACGUAGGUGGCAAGCGUUGUCCGGAUUUAUUGGGCGUAAAGCGAGCGCAGGCGGUUUCUUAAGUCUGAUGUGAAAGCCCCCGGCUCAACCGGGGAGGGUCAUUGGAAACUGGGAGACUUGAGUGCAGAAGAGGAGAGUGGAAUUCCAUGUGUAGCGGUGAAAUGCGUAGAUAUAUGGAGGAACACCAGUGGCGAAGGCGGCUCUCUGGUCUGUAACUGACGCUGAGGCUCGAAAGCGUGGGGAGCAAACAGGAUUAGAUACCCUGGUAGUCCACGCCGUAAACGAUGAGUGCUAAGUGUUGGAGGGUUUCCGCCCUUCAGUGCUGCAGCUAACGCAUUAAGCACUCCGCCUGGGGAGUACGACCGCAAGGUUGAAACUCAAAGGAAUUGACGG
Molecule: ribosomal RNA, 528 nt
Filed under: uncultured bacterium
Lineage: Bacteria
Description: bacterial SSU rRNA
Rfam family: Bacterial small subunit ribosomal RNA
Source: RNAcentral